This 253-nucleotide ribosomal RNA is filed under the name uncultured bacterium. Its description in RNAcentral is "partial 16S ribosomal RNA". It matches the Rfam family "Bacterial small subunit ribosomal RNA", at positions 524 to 776 of the family's 1533-position model. The record is from RNAcentral.
UACGUAGGCAGCAAGCGUUGUUCGGAGUUACUGGGCGUAAAGGGUGCGUAGGCGGCGCGGAAAGUUGGGUGUGAAAUCCCUCGGCUCAACCGAGGAACUGCGCUCAAUACUACCGUGCUCGAGGGAGACAGAGGUGAGCGGAACUUAGGGUGGAGCGGUGAAAUGCGUUGAUAUCCUAAGGAACACCCGUGGCGAAAGCGGCUCACUGGGUCUCUUCUGACGCUGAGGCACGAAAGCUAGGGUAGCGAACGGG